This 468-nucleotide ribosomal RNA is filed under the name uncultured bacterium. RNAcentral describes it as "bacterial SSU rRNA". It matches the Rfam family "Bacterial small subunit ribosomal RNA", at positions 28 to 491 of the family's 1533-position model. The record is from RNAcentral.
GAUGAACGCUAGCGAUAGGCCUAACACAUGCAAGUCGAGGGGCAGCACGAGUAGCAAUACUUGGUGGCGACCGGCGCAAGGGUGCGUAACGCGUGAGCAACAUGCCCGUAUCAGGGGGAUAAUCCAGGGAAACUUGGUCUAAUACCCCAUAGUAAUCAUAUCAGGCAUCUGGUAUGAUUUAAAGCUUAGGUGGAUACGGAUUGGCUCGCGUGACAUUAGCUAGAUGGUAAGGUAACGGCUUACCAUGGCUAUGAUGUCUAGGGGUUCUGAGAGGAAGGUCCCCCACACUGGAACUGAGACACGGUCCAGACUCCUACGGGAGGCAGCAGUGAGGAAUAUUGGACAAUGGAUGGAAAUCUGAUCCAGCCAUGCCGCGUGAAGGACGACGGUCCUAUGGAUUGUAAACUUCUUUUGUAUGGGAGCAAUAAGGUCUACGUGUAGAUCGAUGAGAGUACCAUACGAAUAAGC